AGAGUUUGAUCCUGGCUCAGGACGAACGCUGGCGGCGUGCUUAACACAUGCAAGCCGAACGAUGAAGCGGUGCUUGCACCGUGGAUUAGUGGCGAACGGGUGAGUAAUACGUGAGUGUCCUACCUUUGACUCUGGGAUAAGCCUGGGAAACUGGGUCUAAUACCGGAUACGACCAAUCUCUGCAUGGGGUGUUGGUGGAAAGCGUUAUGGAGUGGUUUUAGAUGGGCUCACGGCCUAUCAGCUUGUUGGUGAGGUAAUGGCUUACCAAGGCGACGACGGGUAGCCGGCCUGAGAGGGUGACCGGCCACACUGGGACUGAGACACGGCCCAGACUCCUACGGGAGGCAGCAGUGGGGAAUAUUGCACAAUGGGCGCAAGCCUGAUGCAGCGACGCCGCGUGAGGGAUGACGGCCUUCGGGUUGUAAACCUCUGUUAGCAUCGAAGAAGCGAAAGUGACGGUAGGUGCAGAGAAAGCGCCGGCUAACUACGUGCCAGCAGCCGCGGUAAUACGUAGGGCGCGAGCGUUGUCCGGAAUUAUUGGGCGUAAAGAGCUUGUAGGCGGUUGGUCGCGUCUGCUGUGAAAGGCCGGGGCUUAACUCCGGUUUUGCAGUGGGUACGGGCUAACUAGAGUGCAGUAGGGGAGACUGGAAUUCCUGGUGUAGCGGUGGAAUGCACAGAUAUCAGGAGGAACACCGAUGGCGAAGGCAGGUCUCUGGGCUGUAACUGACGCUGAGAAGCGAAAGCAUGGGGAGCGAACAGGAUUAGAUACCCUGGUAGUCCAUGCCGUAAACGUUGGGCACUAGGUGUGGGGGACAUUCCACGUUUUCCGCGCCGUAGCUAACGCAUUAAGUGCCCCGCCUGGGAGUACGGCGCAAGGC
This 878-nucleotide ribosomal RNA is filed under the name uncultured bacterium. RNAcentral describes it as "bacterial SSU rRNA". It matches the Rfam family "Bacterial small subunit ribosomal RNA", at positions 8 to 894 of the family's 1533-position model. The record is from RNAcentral.